This 565-nucleotide ribosomal RNA is filed under the name Leptosphaerulina sp. MR18-2. RNAcentral's name for it is "eukaryotic LSU rRNA". The stretch from base 203 to 356 matches the Rfam family "5.8S ribosomal RNA". The record is from RNAcentral. Lineage: Eukaryota; Fungi; Ascomycota; Dothideomycetes; Pleosporales; Didymellaceae.
AAAAUUACAAUGGACCGCCCGGGGGACACCCCCGGGCGCUGUGCCCUCUCGUUUGCACUGAUGGCGCAAGCCUAGUACACGAGUUACAUCCUUGCUAUUACGAGUACCCACGUUCUCCUUCGGCAGGGCAGCCUGCCGUUGGAACCAUAACGCACCCUAUCAUGCAUCCAGCAUUACCCGUUCCAACACAAACAAUCGUUACAACUUUCAACAAUGGAUCUCUUGGCUCUGGCAUCGAUGAAGAACGCAGCGAAAUGCGAUAAGUAGUGUGAAUUGCAGAAUUCAGUGAAUCAUCGAAUCUUUGAACGCACAUUGCGCCCCUCGGUAUUCCGUGGGGCAUGCCUGUUCGAGCGUCAUCUACACCCUCAAGCUUUGCUUGGUGUUGGGCGUCUGUCCCGCCUCCGCGCGUGGACUCGCCCCAAAUGCAUUGGCAGCGGCCCUUGCCGUCCCUCUCGCGCAGCACAUUGCGCUUCUCGAGGGUGCGGCGGUCCGCGUCCACCAAGCACACCACCGUCUUUGACCUCGGAUCAGGUAGGGAUACCCGCUGAACUUAAGCAUAUCAAAG